RNAcentral lists this ribosomal RNA (477 nucleotides) under uncultured Sphingobacteriales bacterium. Its description in RNAcentral is "bacterial SSU rRNA". It matches the Rfam family "Bacterial small subunit ribosomal RNA", at positions 28 to 505 of the family's 1533-position model. The record is from RNAcentral. Lineage: Bacteria; Pseudomonadati; Bacteroidota; Sphingobacteriia; Sphingobacteriales.
GAUGAACGCUAGCGGCAGGCCUAAUACAUGCAAGUCGAACGAGAUUUACCCUUCGGGGUAAUGAAGUGGCGCACGGGUGCGUAACACGUAUGCAAUCUGCCCUUGUCUGGGGAAUAGCCCAGGGAAACUUGGAUUAAUACCCCAUAACAUUAUAGAUAGGCAUCUAUUUAUAAUCAAAGUUCCGACGGACAAGGAUGAGCAUGCGGGACAUUAGUUUGUUGGUGAGGUAACGGCUCACCAAGACUACGAUGUCUAGGGGUUCUGAGAGGAUUAUCCCCCACACUGGUACUGAGACACGGACCAGACUCCUACGGGAGGCAGCAGUAGGGAAUAUUGGUCAAUGGACGCAAGUCUGAACCAGCCAUGCCGCGUGCAGGAUGACAGCCCUAUGGGUCGUAAACUGCUUUUAUAUAGGAAGAAACCCCUUUACGUGUAAAGGGCUGACGGUACUAUAAGAAUAAGGAUCGGCUAACUCCG